Molecule: ribosomal RNA, 621 nt
Filed under: Lactarius sp. JAB-2014
Lineage: Eukaryota; Fungi; Basidiomycota; Agaricomycetes; Russulales; Russulaceae
Description: eukaryotic LSU rRNA
Rfam family: 5.8S ribosomal RNA (bases 163-316)
Source: RNAcentral
UUUGUCCUCGCACAUAAAAUCCAUCUCACCCCUUUGUGCACCACCGCGCGGGCAACCCUUCGGGAUCAAACUGAUCCAGGAGGGGGCUUGCGUUUUCACACAAAACCCCCUUUUAAAAAAGUGUAGAAUGACCCCACUUUUGCGAUAACACGCAAUCAAUACAACUUUCAACAACGGAUCUCUUGGCUCUCGCAUCGAUGAAGAACGCAGCGAAAUGCGAUACGUAAUGUGAAUUGCAGAAUUCAGUGAAUCAUCGAAUCUUUGAACGCACCUUGCGCCCCUUGGUAUUCCGAGGGGCACACCCGUUUGAGUGUCGUGAAAAUCUCAACCUUCUCGGUUUCUUCUGGAUGCCGAAGGAGGCUUGGACUUUGGAGGCCUUUGCUGGCGUCUCUCGCCAGCUCCUCUCAAAUGAAUUAGCGGGGUCCUCUUUGCCGAUCCUCGACAUGUGAUAAGAUGUUUCCGUGUCUUGGUUUCUGGCUCUGUUGCCUUUGGGACCCGCUUCUAACCGUCUCAACGACGAUGUUUGUGAGCGCGUCUCCCUUCUCGGGAAACGCUCUCUCGAACCCCACGAACCCUUGACCUCAAAUCGGGUGAGACUACCCGCUGAACUUAAGCAUAUCA